AGCUUCCUUCAACGAAGAAAUGAGAAUGAUGUAUCAAGAUGGCAAUUGAAGACCCACUAACGAUUCGUAUUAAUAAAAAGCUUAGAGACCAAUGUCAUGUAUCCUCUGAUUGUUGCAUUUUUAAAGUGCCUAGUGAUCUACGAAGCGUGAAUGAAAAGGCAUAUGAGCCGCAGAUGAUUGCAAUUGGUCCAUAUCACCACGGCAAAGAUCAUUUAAUUGCCAUGGAAGAGCA
RNAcentral lists this unclassified non-coding RNA (232 nucleotides) under Hevea brasiliensis (rubber tree). Lineage: Eukaryota; Viridiplantae; Streptophyta; Magnoliopsida; Malpighiales; Euphorbiaceae. The record is from RNAcentral.